Molecule: ribosomal RNA, 433 nt
Filed under: uncultured bacterium
Lineage: Bacteria
Description: partial 16S ribosomal RNA
Rfam family: Bacterial small subunit ribosomal RNA
Source: RNAcentral
AACGAACGCUGGCGGCAGGCCUAACACAUGCAAGUCGAGCGAGCAUUUCGGUGCUAGCGGCGGACGGGUGAGUAACGCGUGGGAACGUGCCCUUUUCUGCGGAAUAGUCCUGGGAAACUGGGGGUAAUACCGCAUACGCCCUUUUGGGGAAAGAUUUAUCGGAGAAGGAUCGGCCCGCGUUGGUUUAGGUAGUUGGUGGGGUAAUGGCCCACCAAGCCGACGAUCCAUAGCUGGUUUGAGAGGAUGAUCAGCCACACUGGGACUGAGACACGGCCCAGACUCCUACGGGAUGCAGCAGUGGGGAAUCUUAGACAAUGGGGGCAACCCUGAUCUAGCCAUGCCGCGUGAGUGAUGAAGGCCUUAGGGUUGUAAAGCUCUUUCAGCUGGGAAGAUAAUGACGGUACCAGCAGAAGAAGCCCCGGCUAACUCCGUG